CUACGGAGGGUGCAAGCGUUAUCCGGAAUCAUUGGGUUUAAAGGGUCCGUAGGCGGACUAUUAAGUCAGAGGUGAAAUCCCACAGCUCAACUGUGGAACUGCCUUUGAUACUGGUAGUCUUGAGUUAUAUGGAAGUAGAUAGAAUGUGUAGUGUAGCGGUGAAAUGCAUAGAUAUUACACAGAAUACCGAUUGCGAAGGCAGUCUACUACGUAUAUACUGACUCUAAGGGACGAAAGCGUGGGGAGCGAACAGGAUUAGAUACCCUAGUAGUCC
This 274-nucleotide ribosomal RNA is filed under the name uncultured bacterium. Its description in RNAcentral is "partial 16S ribosomal RNA". It matches the Rfam family "Bacterial small subunit ribosomal RNA", at positions 523 to 796 of the family's 1533-position model. The record is from RNAcentral.